UAGGGAAUCUUCGGCAAUGGACGAAAGUCUGACCGAGCAACGCCGCGUGAGUGAAGAAGGUUUUCGGAUCGUAAAACUCUGUUGUUAGAGAAGAACAAGGAUGAGAGUAAAAUGUUCAUCCCUUGACGGUAUCUAACCAGAAAGCCACGGCUAACUACGUGCCAGCAGCCGCGGUAAUACGUAGGUGGCAAGCGUUGUCCGGAUUUAUUGGGCGUAAAGCGAGCGCAGGCGGUUUCUUAAGUCUGAUGUGAAAGCCCCCGGCUCAACCGGGGAGGGUCAUUGGAAACUGGGGAACUUGAGUGCAGAAGAGGAGAGUGGAAUUCCAUGUGUAGCGGUGAAAUGCGUAGAUAUAUGGAGGAACACCAGUGGCGAAGGCGGCUCUCUGGUCUGUAACUGACGCUGAGGCUCGAAAGCGUGGGGAGCAAACAGG
RNAcentral lists this ribosomal RNA (430 nucleotides) under Fusobacteriota bacterium. RNAcentral's name for it is "Fusobacteria bacterium partial 16S ribosomal RNA". It matches the Rfam family "Bacterial small subunit ribosomal RNA", at positions 355 to 776 of the family's 1533-position model. Lineage: Bacteria; Fusobacteriati; Fusobacteriota. The record is from RNAcentral.